UUUCCGUAGGUGAACCUGCGGAAGGAUCAUUAUUGUAUAACCGAGGUGCUAGGGCUGUCGCUGACCCGAAAGGUCGUGCACGCCCGAGUGCCCUCACACACAUCCAUCUCACCCCUAUGUGCACCACCGCGUGGGUCCCCCUUUGGCUUGUUCGGAGGGGGGCUUACGUUUUCACACAUACUUUGUAUGCAGUGUAGAAUGUAUUUUUUGUUUUUGCGAUCACGCAAUCAAUACAACUUUCAACAACGGAUCUCUUGGCUCUC
This 263-nucleotide unclassified non-coding RNA is filed under the name plant metagenome. RNAcentral's name for it is "partial contains small subunit ribosomal RNA, internal transcribed spacer 1, and 5.8S ribosomal RNA". The record is from RNAcentral.